GGACAAUGUGCUUGAGAAGUCUGUGAAUUCACCCAUUUCAAGAUGCAGUGAAGAUGGAAAGCAUGGUUGCAUACACCCCAAAUUAAGGGGCAAUCAUCUCCAGGUAGUUUACAAUCAGGACAACAUCCAUCAAAGGCCAUCCUACAGAUCCCACAUGUUUCAUCUUGAGCAUCCCAAGUCCAUGACGCAACAGCAUGCCACUCUGUUUAGAAGCCACGGUUG
Molecule: unclassified non-coding RNA, 222 nt
Filed under: Hevea brasiliensis (rubber tree)
Lineage: Eukaryota; Viridiplantae; Streptophyta; Magnoliopsida; Malpighiales; Euphorbiaceae
Source: RNAcentral